AUCCAGCUAACGAGUCCCAAAUAGGACGAAACGCGCGUUAUGGAU
This 45-nucleotide non-coding RNA is filed under the name Schistosoma mansoni. Lineage: Eukaryota; Metazoa; Platyhelminthes; Trematoda; Strigeidida; Schistosomatidae. The record is from RNAcentral.